AAUAUUGCACAAUGGAGGAAACUCUGAUGCAGCGACGCCGCGUGAGCGAAGAAGGUUUUCGGAUCGUAAAGCUCUGUUGCGAGGGAAGAACAAGUACGGGAGUAACUGCCCGUACCUUGACGGUACCUCGUCAGAAAGCCACGGCCAACUACGUGCCAGCAGCCGCGGUAAUACGUAGGUGGCAAGCGUUGUCCGGAAUUAUGGGGCGUAAAGCGCGCGCAGGCGGUCCUUUAAGUCUGAUGUGAAAGCCCACGGCUCAACCGUGGAGGGUCAUUGGAAACUGGAGGACUUGAGUACAGAAGAGGAAGGCGGAAUUCCACGUGUAGCGGUGAAAUGCGUAGAGAUGUGGAGGAACACCAGUGGCGAAGGCGGCUUUCUGGUCUGUAACUGACGCUGAGGCGCGAAAGCGUGGGGAGCAAACA
RNAcentral lists this ribosomal RNA (422 nucleotides) under uncultured bacterium. RNAcentral describes it as "partial 16S ribosomal RNA". It matches the Rfam family "Bacterial small subunit ribosomal RNA", at positions 360 to 774 of the family's 1533-position model. The record is from RNAcentral.